Molecule: long non-coding RNA, 697 nt
Filed under: Coturnix japonica (Japanese quail)
Lineage: Eukaryota; Metazoa; Chordata; Aves; Galliformes; Phasianidae
Description: lncRNA (ENSCJPG00005000838.1)
Source: RNAcentral
CUUAAAACUGCCCUGCUCCUUCCCUGGCCCAUUGUCAGCAGGGCUGUUUCUUUCACUUUUCUCUUUUUCCCCCUUUGGAAGUACUUUCUCCUAGAGGUGCCUCCACCUUGUCUGUGGAUACCCAGCUGUAGGGCGCUGGAGCUGGCUGAAAUCUGCACAGGACCUCUCCCCAUAGAGGCAGACCUGGGAGCCUCCCACCACAGCCCUGACACAUGCACUUAAUGAUGAUAUGUACCGAUAUGAUUGCAAGAAGAAAAGCAGCAAUCAUCUCCAUAGCAGAGCAGCAACAAAUCUCAGGCAGGAUGGGUACCCACAGGUGCACUCUGAGUGACUGAUGGCAGAAAGCAACACUCUGCAAGUUCCAUGUGAGUAAUUUGAAAGAAUAAUUGAUUUGACUAAUGAAGGCGUCUUUCCUAUUUGUGAAUAGUCCAUGUGAAAAUUCUUUUUGCAUUAUUUUAAUUGCUAUUUUAAAAUCUGCCUACACUUUUUAAUGAAGGAAUUUCAGUUGUUCAGCUUGUUAACUGCUCACUAUUAGCAUUUCCUGGAAGCAACCAGUGUUUCUGAGUGCCCCUGGUUUAUUCAGUCUUAUGCUCUUCCUGGUUACCUCAGUAGGGGAUUUCCAAAUUUGAGGCAAUAGAUCUUAUUAAUGGCAGUGACUGCAAUAAGACAUAGUUCUGGCAUCUAAAGUAUCUUGAUG